AUGGGUAAAGCAAUGGGAUCAGGCACUGGCUUAGGGCGUGCUGGUGCAAAUUCUAUGAGACCUCCAACAAAUCCAAUGGUAGCUUCUGGCAUGCCCAUGGGCGGGGUAAUGAAUGUUGGUGGUUAUGGAGGUAUGAACCAAAACCAACCUAUGGGUAUGGGAAUGGGACCAGGCAUGAACAUGAACCAAAACCAACCCAUGGGUAUAGGAAUGGGACCAGGGAUGAACAUGGGAGGAGGAUAUGGCCAAGGCUAUCAGAUGCAACCACAACACCAAGGGAUGGUCCCUGGUCAGAACAUGCCAGGCAACAACAACAACAACAACUAUAAUCCGAUGAUGGGUCA
This 344-nucleotide long non-coding RNA is filed under the name Brassica napus (rape). Its description in RNAcentral is "long non-coding RNA (BNAP_LNC003829)". Lineage: Eukaryota; Viridiplantae; Streptophyta; Magnoliopsida; Brassicales; Brassicaceae. The record is from RNAcentral.